Molecule: long non-coding RNA, 3696 nt
Filed under: Homo sapiens (human)
Lineage: Eukaryota; Metazoa; Chordata; Mammalia; Primates; Hominidae
Description: HSALNT0143953
Source: RNAcentral
UAUGGUUUGGCUGUGUCCCCACCCAAAUUCCAUCUUGAAUUGUAGUUCCCAUAAUCCCCACUUGUCAUGGGAGGGACUUGGUGGGAGGUAAUUGAAUCAUGGGGGUGGUUUCCUCUAUGCUGUUAUUGUAAUAGUGAGUGAGUUCUCACAAGAUCUGAUGGUUUUAUAAGAGGCGUUCCCCUUCUGCUUGGCAUUCUCUCUCCUGCCGCCCUAUAAAGAAGGGCAUGUUUGUUUCCCCUUCUGCCAUGAUUGUAAGUUUCCUGAGGCUUCUAGCCCUGCAGACCUGCACAUCAAUCAAACUUCUUUCCUUUAUAAAUUACUCAGCCUUGGGUAUUUCUUCAUAGCAUCAUGGGAACAGACUAAUACAACCUCUCACUCAUGCCUCUGCUGAGGAAAGUUUUGUCUGAUUAAUGGAUGAGGGGAACAAGUUAGUCAACCUCUGUGACUCAUUACCUGGACCAUGGAUCAUGCUUUUUUCUCUGUUCCUGCUGCACUGUGACAAGAUAAUACUGCGAUGAAUAUUUUGUGACGUAUUUCCAUAUCCACAUAUAUGACAGCUUCUCUAGGUUGUGUGUCUCAGAAGAGAAAUAAUGUAUCAUAGAUUUUGGAAGAAGCACGAAAAUGAUUUACUGAUUUAGGAACUGGGUGGAGUAGACCACAAAAAGACAAAUCAAAAACAUCUGGAAUGAACUAGUUGAGAGAGAAAAAGAGAGAGCAAGAAAAAAAGCAGGAGCCGGCAAGAGGGAGCCUCAGCCAACACUACAUCAGAGGCACAUUGUGGAUGGAGGAAAUGAGUUUAGUCAAGCCAGCUGUGACUUCAAAGGGGCUGCUCUCCCAGAGAACAGUGAGAAAGGGUUCCCCCUUCAGUGAAGACUGCAAAGUUCAGCCAGCGCCAACCCAAAGGGAAUGGACUCCAGGAAGGGGCAAAUUACAUUCAACAUACAAGAAAGAAUAUUUUCCUUCAUGAAGUGGCUGUGACAGUCUGAAGAGGAAGGAAAAUGACAAAAAAGAAAGGGCCAGUACGUGGAAAAUGCGGAAAUUGGAACUUACUAUAAGUAACUAAUUCAGAAAUCAGGCUGGCAGAAGUGUUAUACAUUCACUGGAAGAAAUUGGUGAAUAUAUGGAAAACAUAAAUGUUAUGUAUCCUGGAACUUAAAAUAAAAAUUAAUAAUAAAAAAUGUUAUCUCUCCCAAGCACUCAUUUGAUGCUUGAAUCCUCUCUAUGACAUCCUUACCAAGGAUUUGUUCUUCUUAUGCUUGGGUACUUCAACUGAUGAGAAUCUCACUAGCUCAGGAUGCAGUUUGCUUUCUUUUAGAUAGCUCUGUUAGAGCUGCCUUCUUCCAGGGCUGAACACUUCCAUAAUUUAAAUUCCAUUUAUUAGUUUUAGUCCUGCCCCUUGGGAACUCGUAGCAAAGAUACUUACAUAUUAAUGUGACAUUUUUCAGGUACUUGAGGUUAGUAAUUAUGUAGCAUAUGACAUAGAUUAAACUCAUAGACUCUGGAAACAAACUACUUGCCUUCCCUUCAAAUUCUUAUUCUGCCACUUACUUACUAUGUGACCUCCAGAGAGUUAUUUACUAUCUCUGUAACUUUAUUUCUUUAUCUAUAUAAAAAGAUAUAAUAAUAGCAGUACAUCAAAGGGCUUUUAUAAGGAGUCCAUGAAUUAAUAUAUGUAGAUGUGCCUGGAACACGGUAAGUGCUCUAAAAGUUUUCACUAUUACUAAUCAUCAUCAUUAUUAUACAGAUCUUGUCAGAUAUCGGACCUAGGCCAUCUUUCUAAGUCUUUACUCAUUCAUUAAGUGAGCUCAUUCACUCCCAUGGCUUCAAUCACCAUCUAUAUGAUUAUGAAAAAUCUAUUUUCCUCCUGAGCCAAGAGCUAAAUGUAAGUGACCAGUUAUGGAUACAGGAAUUGCUCUGGCCACCAUAAUUUGGGUGGAAAUGGUGCAUACCACUUCCAGUUCUUGCCCCUUAAAAUACCAUGAGAAAUCUUGCACUCCUUUCUCCUAGUUCAUCAGCUAACUGAAUGCAGAGAAACCAGUGGAGGACUCCAAGGAAAUUCCAAAGAGUGGUUGAACCACGGGUUGGAAGAAGUCUAGAUCCCUGAGUCAAUGUUUGGAGAGGAGCUGCCGAGGAGAGCCACCAGAGAGGGACACAUGAGCAAGAAAUAAACAUUUCUUCUGUUAAAACAUUGAGAUUUUAUAGCCCAUCAUGACUAAUCCAAUGAGACCCUAGUGUAGAUCUUUUGCUUAGUCUUCGCUUCUGAGAUCUAGAACUAUAUAUUUCAUUUGCUAAUCACCAUUUCUACAUGAACCCUCAAAUAGGGUAAUAGGUAAACUCAGAGUUUCUAAGAUUAGACUGUGUUGAAAUCUUAGUCCUUCCAGGUACAGCUAUAUGACUCAAUGUGUGUGUGGGGGCGGGGGCAGGGGGGUUAAAUAAACUAUUCAUAACUGUAUCUACUUAAAAGUAAUAAGAAAAUGAAAUGAGCAUAUACAUAUAUAUAAAACAGUUAUCGGCACAUAGUAAAUGCUCAGUAAUUGUCAGGUAAUACAGUUAUUAUGACCAUCCCACUCCAAAUUUGCUCUUUCCCCAGGUUUUUUAUGUUGAUAAAUGGUACCACCAUCCAAUAGUUGUUAAAAUUAGAAAUUUGCAACUUUAUCUUGGAUCACUUUUUUUAUCCUCCCACAUGGAUAAAGUCAAUCAAUAACUGAUUGAUUACACUCCUUCAGUAUUUUUCAAAUCCAUUUGCUUAACUCUCUCCUCUUCUAUUCUACACUUUUCAUCCUAGUUAAAGCCACCAGCCUAUGUAACUUUAUUAUAUUUGCGUCCUUACUAGUCUUUUCAAAUCCAUCCUUGCACCCUCCCAAUUCAUGCUUUAUGUGGAAAUGUAGGCAUUUUUUAAAAAAUUCAAAUCAAAUCUUGCUGCUCAAAAUUUUAAAUGCAUCAACACCGAUUGCUCUUUGGUGCCACCACAUUCCUGACCCAUUACUUCAGCACCCCCUCAAACCCACCACAGGACUUUAUUUCUACAAUUCAGCCACACUGGACUUUUGUCGGUGUCAGAAAAGUGCCAUAGAUUGUCCCAUCUUUGAUGUUAUCAUGUGUUGGUUACUUUUGCUUAGAAUAAACUUUCUCCCCAUCCCAGUUUACCUAAUUAAUUCCUGACCACUCUUUACAUUUCUGCUUAAAUGCUAUACUCUCCAGAAAGCCCUCUUAGCAAUCUCUGCCCACACUUCUUAAAGCUAUGCCUACAUAGCCCCCACCUUAUUUCUUCAUUAAACUCUUUGCACUUGCCAUUAUUUGUAUAAUUAUGUUUUCCCAGCUAACCAGGAGACUUUGUGAGGGCAGAGACCUCAUAUGUAUGGCUCACUGCCUGGUAUAGACAGUAUAUUGGCUUAUACGAAGGAGGAGUUUAUUAAAUACAGUAAAUUUUUUUAAGUGUGAAUAUGAGUCUGUUAAAUGACUGUGUGUAUAUGUACCCAAUGUAAAGUUUUAUUUGGUUCGGUCUAGAAAAAUGUCCUACAGCCAAUUCAUGUACCUAAUUAAAUUCACUUACAAAUUUAGGAAACUCAGCACCUGCCCUAUUUGAGUUUAAAACUAGUUGAUUUGAUAGACAUAUAAAAUAAAAACUAUACUAUAGUAUCAUCCAUGCUGUCAUAAUAGAAUUAUCUCAAAACCUCCAUUGAUGUACUAUUUGGG